Molecule: ribosomal RNA, 242 nt
Filed under: uncultured bacterium
Lineage: Bacteria
Description: partial 16S ribosomal RNA
Rfam family: Bacterial small subunit ribosomal RNA
Source: RNAcentral
GAUCAUGGCUCAGGACGAACGCUGGCGGCGUGCUUAACACAUGCAAGUCGAACGGGACGAUUGAAAGCUUGCUUUUGAAAGUCGAGUGGCAAACGGGUGAGUAACGCGUAGACAACCUGCCGUAAAGAUGGGGACAACAGUCCGAAAGGACUGCUAAUACCGAAUGUUGUAAAUCUUCCGCAUGGGAGACUUACUAAAGGUGGCCUCUACUUGUAAGCUAUCGCUUUACGAUGGGUCUGCGU